RNAcentral lists this ribosomal RNA (390 nucleotides) under uncultured bacterium. RNAcentral's name for it is "bacterial SSU rRNA". It matches the Rfam family "Bacterial small subunit ribosomal RNA", at positions 28 to 422 of the family's 1533-position model. The record is from RNAcentral.
GACGAACGCUGGCGGCGUGCUUAACACAUGCAAGUCGAGCGGUAAGGCCCUUUCGGGGGUACACGAGCGGCGAACGGGUGAGUAACACGUGGGUGACCUGCCCUCAGCUCUGGGAUAAGCCUGGGAAACUGGGUCUAAUACCGGAUAUGACUCCAUGACGCAUGUUGUGGGGUGAAAGCCUUGUGCGGCCAGGGAUGGGCCCGCGGCCUAUCAGCUUGUUGGUGGGGUGAUGGCCACCAAGGCGACGACGGGUAGCCGGCCUGAGAGGGCGACCGGCCACACUGGGACUGAGACACGGCCCAGACUCCUACGGGAGGCAGCAGUGGGGAAUCUUGCGCAAUGGGCGAAAGCCUGACGCAGCGACGCCGCGUGGGGAUGACGGCCUCGGUG